AGAGUUUGAUCCUGGCUCAGGAUGAACGCUGGCGGCGUGCCUAACACAUGCAAGUCGAGCGUGAAGUUUUGGAAUGAUACUUCGGUAAAGUGAAGAAACGGAAAGCGGCGGACGGGUGAGUAACGCGUAGGUAACCUGCCCCAUACACAGGGAUAGCCUAGGGAAACCUGGAUUAAUACCUGAUGAUGCGAGGGAGUCACAUGGCUUCUUCGCCAAAGAUUGAUCGGUAUGGGAUGGACCUGCGUCUGAUUAGCUGGUUGGUGAGGUAACGGCUCACCAAGGCAACGAUCAGUAGCCGACCUGAGAGGGUAAUCGGCCACAUUGGAACUGAGACACGGUCCAAACUCCUACGGGAGGCAGCAGUGGGGAAUAUUGCACAAUGGGCGCAAGCCUGAUGCAGCAACGCCGCGUGAGUGAAGAAGGUCUUCGGAUCGUAAAACUCUGUCCUUAGGGAAGAAACAAAUGACGGUACCUAAGGAGGAAGCCCCGGCUAACUACGUGCCAGCAGCCGCGGUAAUACGUAGGGGGCGAGCGUUAUCCGGAAUUAUUGGGCGUAAAGAGUACGUAGGUGGUUUUGUAAGCGUGGGGUGAAAGACCGAGGCUUAACUUCGGUUAGCCUUGCGAACUGCAAGACUUGAGUGCAGGAGAGGAAAGUGGAAUUCCUAGUGUAGCGGUGAAAUGCGUAGAUAUUAGGAGGAACAUCAGUGGCGAAGGCGACUUUCUGGACUGUAACUGACACUGAGGUACGAAAGCGUGGGUAGCAAACAGGAUUAGAUACCCUGGUAGUCCACGCCGUAAACGAUGAGCACUAGGUGUCGGGGUCGCAAGGCUUCGGUGCCGCAGUUAACGCAUUAAGUGCUCCGCCUGGGGAGUACGCACGCAAGUGUGAAACUCAAAGGAAUUGACGGGGACCCGCACAAGCAGCGGAGCAUGUGGUUUAAUUCGAAGCAACGCGAAGAACCUUACCAGGGCUUGACAUCCCUCUGACCGGCCGGUAAUGCGGCCUUCCCUUCGGGGCAGAGGUGACAGGUGGUGCAUGGUUGUCGUCAGCUCGUGUCGUGAGAUGUUGGGUUAAGUCCCGCAACGAGCGCAACCCU
This 1097-nucleotide ribosomal RNA is filed under the name uncultured bacterium. Its description in RNAcentral is "bacterial SSU rRNA". It matches the Rfam family "Bacterial small subunit ribosomal RNA", at positions 8 to 1105 of the family's 1533-position model. The record is from RNAcentral.